Small nucleolar RNA from Pelodiscus sinensis (Chinese soft-shelled turtle), 74 nucleotides. It matches the Rfam family "Small nucleolar RNA SNORD59". Rfam says of the family: U59 belongs to the C/D class of snoRNA which contain the C (UGAUGA) and D (CUGA) box motifs. Most of the members of the box C/D family function in directing site-specific 2'-O-methylation of substrate RNAs. NCBI's taxonomy places the organism in Eukaryota, Metazoa, Chordata, Testudines, Trionychidae. The record is from Rfam.
CCUCCACUGAUGAUCUAGCCUGAUGACUUUCGUUCUUCUGAGCGUGCUGAAGCCAAUUCUGUGAUCUGAGGAGG